RNAcentral lists this ribosomal RNA (468 nucleotides) under uncultured bacterium. RNAcentral describes it as "partial 16S ribosomal RNA". It matches the Rfam family "Bacterial small subunit ribosomal RNA", at positions 28 to 507 of the family's 1533-position model. The record is from RNAcentral.
GACGAACGCUGGCGGCGUGCUUAACACAUGCAAGUCGAACGGAAAGGCCCUGCUUUUGUGGGGUGCUCGAGUGGCGAACGGGUGAGUAACACGUGAGUAACCUGCCCUUGACUUUGGGAUAACUUCAGGAAACUGGGGCUAAUACCGGAUAGGAGCUCCUGCUGCAUGGUGGGGGUUGGAAAGUUUCGGCGGUUGGGGAUGGACUCGCGGCUUAUCAGCUUGUUUGUGGGGUAGUGGCUUACCAAGGCUUUGACGGGUAGCCGGCCUGAGAGGGUGACCGGCCACAUUGGGACUGAGAUACGGACCAGAAUACUACGGGAGGCAGCAGUGGGGAAUAUUGCACAAUGGGCGGAAGCCUGAUGCAGCAACGCCGCGUGCGGGAUGACGGCCUUCGGGUUGUAAACCGCUUUCGCCUGUGACGAAGCGUGAGUGACGGUAAUGGGUAAAGAAGCACCGGCUAACUACGUG